RNAcentral lists this ribosomal RNA (2882 nucleotides) under Burkholderia pyrrocinia. Its description in RNAcentral is "23S ribosomal RNA". It matches the Rfam family "Bacterial large subunit ribosomal RNA". The record is from RNAcentral. Lineage: Bacteria; Pseudomonadati; Pseudomonadota; Betaproteobacteria; Burkholderiales; Burkholderiaceae.
GGUCAAGCGAACAAGUGCAUGUGGUGGAUGCCUUGGCGAUCACAGGCGAUGAAGGACGCGGUAGCCUGCGAAAAGCUACGGGGAGCUGGCAAACGAGCUUUGAUCCGUAGAUGUCCGAAUGGGGAAACCCACUCCUUUUGGAGUAUCCAUGGCUGAAUACAUAGGCCAUGUGAAGCGAACGCGGUGAACUGAAACAUCUAAGUAACCGCAGGAAAAGAAAUCAACCGAGAUUCCCAAAGUAGUGGCGAGCGAAAUGGGAUGAGCCUUGCACUCUUUAUUUGUAUUGUUAGCCGAACGCUCUGGAAAGUGCGGCCAUAGCAGGUGAUAGCCCUGUAGGCGAAAACAGUAUGAAAGAACUAGGUGUGCGACAAGUAGGGCGGGACACGUGAAAUCCUGUCUGAAGAUGGGGGGACCAUCCUCCAAGGCUAAAUACUCGUGAUCGACCGAUAGUGAACCAGUACCGUGAGGGAAAGGCGAAAAGAACCCCGGGAGGGGAGUGAAAUAGAUCCUGAAACCGCAUGCAUACAAACAGUCGGAGCCUCGCAAGGGGUGACGGCGUACCUUUUGUAUAAUGGGUCAGCGACUUACGUUCAGUAGCAAGCUUAACCGUAUAGGGCAGGCGUAGCGAAAGCGAGUCCGAAUAGGGCGUUCAGUUGCUGGGCGUAGACCCGAAACCAAGUGAUCUAUCCAUGGCCAGGAUGAAGGUGCGGUAACACGUACUGGAGGUCCGAACCCACUAACGUUGAAAAGUUAGGGGAUGAGCUGUGGAUAGGGGUGAAAGGCUAAACAAACUUGGAAAUAGCUGGUUCUCUCCGAAAACUAUUUAGGUAGUGCCUCGUGUCUCACCUUCGGGGGUAGAGCACUGUCAUGGUUGGGGGGUCUAUUGCAGAUUACCCCGCCAUAGCAAACUCCGAAUACCGAAGAGUGCAAUCACGGGAGACAGACAUCGGGUGCUAACGUCCGGUGUCAAGAGGGAAACAACCCAGACCGCCAGCUAAGGUCCCCAAAUAUAGCUAAGUGGGAAACGAAGUGGGAAGGCUAAAACAGUCAGGAGGUUGGCUUAGAAGCAGCCACCCUUUAAAGAAAGCGUAAUAGCUCACUGAUCGAGUCGUCCUGCGCGGAAGAUGUAACGGGGCUAAGCUAUAUACCGAAGCUGCGGAUGCGUGCUUUGCACGCAUGGUAGGAGAGCGUUCCGUAAGCCUGCGAAGGUGCGUUGAAAAGCGUGCUGGAGGUAUCGGAAGUGCGAAUGCUGACAUGAGUAGCGAUAAAGGGGGUGAAAGGCCCCCUCGCCGUAAGCCCAAGGUUUCCUACGCAACGUUCAUCGGCGUAGGGUGAGUCGGCCCCUAAGGCGAGGCAGAAAUGCGUAGCUGAUGGGAAGCAGGUCAAUAUUCCUGCACCAUUGUUAGAUGCGAUGGGGGGACGGAUCGCGGAAGGUUGUCCGGGUGUUGGAAGUCCCGGUCGCUGCAUUGGAGAAGGCGCUUAGGCAAAUCCGGGCGCGCAAUUCAAGGGUGUGGCGCGAGCUCCUUAGGGAGCGAAGCAAUUGGAAGUGGUUCCAAGAAAAGCCUCUAAGCUUCAGUCUAACGAUGACCGUACCGCAAACCGACACAGGUGGGCGAGAUGAGUAUUCUAAGGCGCUUGAGAGAACUCGGGAGAAGGAACUCGGCAAAUUGGUACCGUAACUUCGGGAUAAGGUACGCCCUUGUAGCUUGACUGGCCUGCGCCAGGAGGGUGAAGGGGUUGCAAUAAACUGGUGGCUGCGACUGUUUAAUAAAAACACAGCACUCUGCAAACACGAAAGUGGACGUAUAGGGUGUGACGCCUGCCCGGUGCCGGAAGAUUAAAUGAUGGGGUGCAAGCUCUUGAUUGAAGUCCCGGUAAACGGCGGCCGUAACUAUAACGGUCCUAAGGUAGCGAAAUUCCUUGUCGGGUAAGUUCCGACCUGCACGAAUGGCGUAACGAUGGCCACACUGUCUCCUCCCGAGACUCAGCGAAGUUGAAGUGUUUGUGAUGAUGCAAUCUACCCGCGGCUAGACGGAAAGACCCCAUGAACCUUUACUGUAGCUUUGCAUUGGACUUUGAACCGAUCUGUGUAGGAUAGGUGGGAGGCUAUGAAACCGGAACGCUAGUUUCGGUGGAGCCGUCCUUGAAAUACCACCCUGGUUUGUUUGAGGUUCUAACCUUGGCCCGUGAUCCGGGUCGGGGACAGUGCAUGGUAGGCAGUUUGACUGGGGCGGUCUCCUCCCAAAGCGUAACGGAGGAGUACGAAGGUACGCUAGGUACGGUCGGAAAUCGUGCUGAUAGUGCAAUGGCAUAAGCGUGCUUAACUGCGAGACCGACAAGUCGAGCAGGUGCGAAAGCAGGUCAUAGUGAUCCGGUGGUUCUGUAUGGAAGGGCCAUCGCUCAACGGAUAAAAGGUACUCUGGGGAUAACAGGCUGAUACCGCCCAAGAGUUCAUAUCGACGGCGGUGUUUGGCACCUCGAUGUCGGCUCAUCUCAUCCUGGGGCUGUAGCCGGUCCCAAGGGUAUGGCUGUUCGCCAUUUAAAGAGGUACGUGAGCUGGGUUUAAAACGUCGUGAGACAGUUUGGUCCCUAUCUGCCGUGGGCGUUGGAUAUUUGAAGGGGGCUGCUCCUAGUACGAGAGGACCGGAGUGGACGAACCUCUGGUGUACCGGUUGUCACGCCAGUGGCAUCGCCGGGUAGCUAUGUUCGGAAGAGAUAACCGCUGAAAGCAUCUAAGCGGGAAACUCGCCUUAAGAUGAGAUAUCCCUGGGGACUAGAUCCCCUUGAAGGGUCGUUCGAGACCAGGACGUUGAUAGGUCAGGUGUGUAAGCGCAGUAAUGCGUUCAGCUAACUGAUACUAAUUGCCCGUAAGGCUUGAUCCU